Long non-coding RNA from Gordionus sp. m RMFG-2023, 280 nucleotides. RefSeq lists it as uncharacterized. Lineage: Eukaryota; Metazoa; Nematomorpha; Gordioida; Chordodea; Parachordodidae. The transcript has 3 exons. The record is from RefSeq and is a predicted model, not a curated record.
UAUCAAUGUAUGAAAUAUGGGAGCUAGAGAUCAUACCGUAUUACAUAGUAGAUUAUAAAUACAAUUGUACUACACCAAAAAUUGAAGCAACAACCAAAUCCACUUUUCCCAAUCAAAAGACCAAUGUAACAGAGUAUAUGAGCAGCUUUACAAAGACAUUGGAAACAAGUGGCACUCCUUAUAUGACUAGAUAUUCAUCCUUAAAUCUAACAUCUGGGACUACGAACUUCACACCCUUGGUUAAGUCUACAUCUCAAACAACUUCAAAUGCUUCCUUUAC